This 497-nucleotide ribosomal RNA is filed under the name uncultured bacterium. RNAcentral's name for it is "partial 16S ribosomal RNA". It matches the Rfam family "Bacterial small subunit ribosomal RNA", at positions 28 to 507 of the family's 1533-position model. The record is from RNAcentral.
GAUGAACGCUGGCGGCGUGCCUAAUACAUGCAAGUCGAGCGAACGGACGAGAAGCUUGCUUCUCUGAUGUUAGCGGCGGACGGGUGAGUAACACGUGGAUAACCUACCUAUAAGACUGGGAUAACUUCGGGAAACCGUAGCUAAUACCGGAUAAUAUUUUGAACCGCAUGGUUCAAAAGUGAAAGACGGUCUUGCUGUCACUUGUAGAUGGAUCCGCGCUGCAUUAGCUAGUUGGUAAGGUAACGGCUUACCAAGGCAACGAUGCAUAGCCGACCUGAGAGGGUGAUCGGCCACACUGGAACUGAGACACGGUCCAGACUCCUACGGGAGGCAGCAGUAGGGAAUCUUCCGCAAUGGGCGAAAGCCUGACGGAGCAACGCCGCGUGAGUGAUGAAGGUCUUCGGAUCGUAAAACUCUGUUAUUAGGGAAGAACAUAUGUGUAAGUAACUGUGCACAUCUUGACGGUACCUAAUCAGAAAGCCACGGCUAACUACGUG